This 479-nucleotide ribosomal RNA is filed under the name uncultured bacterium. RNAcentral describes it as "bacterial SSU rRNA". It matches the Rfam family "Bacterial small subunit ribosomal RNA", at positions 28 to 477 of the family's 1533-position model. The record is from RNAcentral.
GACGAACGCUGGCGGCGUGCUUAACACAUGCAAGUCGAACGAAGAGCGAUGGAAGCUUGCUUCUAUCAAUCUUAGUGGCGAACGGGUGAGUAACGCGUAAUCAACCUGCCCUUCAGAGGGGGACAACAGUUGGAAACGACUGCUAAUACCGCAUACGAUCUAAUCUCGGCAUCGAGGAUAGAUGAAAGGUGGCCUCUACAUGUAAGCUAUCACUGAAGGAGGGGAUUGCGUCUGAUUAGCUAGUUGGAGGGGUAACGGCCCACCAAGGCGAUGAUCAGUAGCCGGUCUGAGAGGAUGAACGGCCACAUUGGGACUGAGACACGGCCCAGACUCCUACGGGAGGCAGCAGUGGGGAAUCUUCCGCAAUGGACGAAAGUCUGACGGAGCAACGCCGCGUGAGUGAUGACGGCCUUCGGGUUGUAAAGCUCUGUUAAUCGGGACGAAAGGCCUUCUUGCGAAUAGUGAGAAGGAUGACGGNA